RNAcentral lists this ribosomal RNA (348 nucleotides) under uncultured bacterium. RNAcentral describes it as "bacterial SSU rRNA". It matches the Rfam family "Bacterial small subunit ribosomal RNA", at positions 28 to 372 of the family's 1533-position model. The record is from RNAcentral.
GAUGAACGCUAGCGGCAGGCUUAAUACAUGCAAGUCGUGGGGCAGCAGGUUUGUAGCAAUACAGAUGCUGGCGACCGGCAAACGGGUGCGGAACACGUACAGAACCUUCCUUUGAGCGGGGAAUAGCCCAGAGAAAUUUGGAUUAAUACCCCAUAGUAUAAUGAAGUGGCAUCACUUUAUAUUAAAGAUUUAUCACUCGAAGAUGGCUGUGCGGCUGAUUAGGUAGUUGGCGGGUAAAGGCCCACCAAGCCUGCGAUCAGUAACUGGUGUGAGAGCACGACCAGUCACACGGGCACUGAGACACGGGCCCGACUCCUACGGGAGCAGCAGUAAGGAAUAUUGGUCAAU